CAACCCGAUCCCUUUAGCCGUCCCUCCACUACCAAUAAAUCAAAAGCAUAACCGCCCAUGGCGCAUAAUAUCCAUUUAGUUGGGCCAUGCACACGUUUGGCAUGCAUGUACGCAUGAUGCAUUCAUGAUCCAUUUGCCCUCUCCUCUCCUCUCCUCUCCUCUCCCUCGAUCGCCCCACCACUUCUUCAAAAACCAACCACCUUCGUCCUCUUUCCCUUCUUCGUCUUGCUCACGCCAAGAAGCACGGCAAGAAACCGUUGGUCCAUACCAGCACGACAGGCCGGCCGGUGGUGAUUAGUUAGCUAGCUAGCUGCCGGUGGCUCUUUGCCCUUGUGUACGUACAUGGGGCAGGAAGAGGACGCCCUGACCGUGGCCUUCUCGUGGGAGCAGGAGCUGGGCAUGCCAGAGAGCCCGAGGAAGCCGCCGGUAGUCUUGUCGUGGGAGCUCGAGCCGGCCGUGAAGAAGCCGGUCUCGACGAUUGAAGGACGUGGUGGUGGCAUGCGGGAGGGCCAGAGGAAGGUUCCGGCGCUGGCAAGGCGGCUGUCGGUGCCGCCGCCCCCAGGCAGGCCGGCGGCGAGGGGCUACUCGAGGGCCGUCCGGCCUGAGGACGACCCGUUCCUGGCGGCGUACCUGGCCUGCACCAAGAGCGGCGGCGACGGCGACGGCAGGAAGAUGAAGACCGCACCAACAAGGGAGGCCAAGGGCCAGAGGCGGUGGAGCGGGCUGGGGCGUGGGCUCGGCGCGCUGUCCUGCAAGAGGUCCAACGGCGUGGUGGAGCAGAGCAUGACGUCAGAGAAGUGGCCGCCAGACGCUACAUGUGUGGUGUGAGAGAUGGUCCAGACAAGGACACUCUCUGAGAGUAAUGCUACACGUACAAACGAGUUACAAGCCUUUACAAAGAGGAUUAAUUUGAUUGGUCAAUAGAUGGGGAGGCGGCCCACCCCCCUGAAAAUCAGGAGGGGACAAGUUUGUGAUUGAGAGGUUUCGGGUUCAGACACGGACAAAGGUACAUCAAACAAAUAGGCAUGUGUCGUAACCCGGCGCCGACCGGUCCCUGUUGAGCUUGGAGAAACUUUGGAAACAGUCGGCGACAUGGACGCGACAUGUAUAUCUGCGAUGCCACGACACUGGACGCGAACUUGAAAAACACAGCUCGAGAAACAAAGACGACAAAGAUAUAAUGGCGCGAUUCACAAGCCGAAUAGCUGAUUCUGAUCAAAGAUUUAUCCACAGCUGGGUGGACUAGUCGAAAAAGAGAGUGUAUCCAGUUAAACGGCAAAAAACAACACACACCUCUAGCUAUCAAGGCGUGUCAUCCGAUGUUUAUCGAAUUAGAAUUGGAAAUCAUGUGCCACAUA
RNA transcript from Triticum urartu, 1358 nucleotides. RefSeq lists it as uncharacterized. The record is from RefSeq and is a predicted model, not a curated record. NCBI's taxonomy places the organism in Eukaryota, Viridiplantae, Streptophyta, Magnoliopsida, Poales, Poaceae.